This 370-nucleotide ribosomal RNA is filed under the name uncultured organism. Its description in RNAcentral is "bacterial SSU rRNA". It matches the Rfam family "Bacterial small subunit ribosomal RNA", at positions 526 to 896 of the family's 1533-position model. The record is from RNAcentral.
CGAACUGUGCGAACGUUAUUCGGAAUCACUGGGCUUACAGGGUGCGUAGGCGGCUUUUCAAGUCAGGUGUGAAAGCCCCCGGCUCAACCGGGGAACUGCGCUUGAAACUGAAAGGCUCGAGUCAGCUAGAGGUACACGGAACUUCCAGUGGAGCGGUGAAAUGUGUUGAUAUUGGAAGGAACACCGGAGGCGAAAGCGGUGUACUGGGGCUGGUCUGACGCUGAGGCACGAAAGCCAGGGGAGCGAACGGGAUUAGAUACCCCGGUAGUCCUGGCCGUAAACGAUGAGUGCUGGACGGGAGGGGGUUCGCCCUCUCCGGUCGGAGCGAAAGCGGGAAGCACUCCGCCUGGGGAGUAUGGUCGCAAGGCUG